CUCCCGCACGCUGCAGUAAACCUCGCGCGCCACGUGGGUUUUGUUGUGUCUUGCAUCCUCCUUUCGCGUCCAAGAAGAAGAAGACCAAGAAGAAGAAGAACAAUCUGUAUAUUUUGUACAUACAAGUGCUGAGGAUCAAACCCAGGGCCUUGGGCACGGCGAGAGAGUGCUCUACCACUGAGCCAACAACAGCGGUCUGUCCCUGAACCUGGAACUCAGCAGGAUGCUCCAGUCUUUUGUCUUCCCAGAGUUGGAUUUGCCUGGCUUUUUAUGUGGGUCCUGGGUAUUCAAGCUUGGGUCUUCACGCUGGAGUGGCAAG
Long non-coding RNA from Chionomys nivalis (European snow vole), 319 nucleotides. RefSeq lists it as uncharacterized. The transcript has 3 exons. NCBI's taxonomy places the organism in Eukaryota, Metazoa, Chordata, Mammalia, Rodentia, Cricetidae. The record is from RefSeq and is a predicted model, not a curated record.